ACGCCGUUGGUGAACCAGCGGAGGGAUCAUUACUGAGUUACCGCUCUAUAACCCUUUGUGAACAUACCUACAACUGUUGCUUCGGCGGGUAGGCCGUCCCCUGAAAAGGACGCCUCCCGGCCCGGACCGGACCCCCCGCGGGACCGGACCCGGCGCCCGCCGGAGGAUAACCAAACUCUAUUGUAACGACGUUUCUUCUGAGUGGCAUAAGCAAAAUAAUCAAAACUUUUAACAACGGAUCUCUUGGUUCUGGCAUCGAUGAAGAACGCAGCGAAAUGCGAUAAGUAAUGUGAAUUGCAGAAUUCAGUGAAUCAUCGAAUCUUUGAACGCACAUUGCGCCCGCCAGCAUUCUGGCGGGCAUGCCUGUUCGAGCGUCAUUUCAACCCCUCAAGCUCUGCUUGGUGUUGGGGCUCUACGGUCGACGUAGGCCCUCAAAGGUAGUGGCGGACCCUCCCGGAGCCUCCUUUGCGUAGUAACAUUUCGUCUCGCACUGGGAUCCGGAGGGACUCUUGCCGUAAAACCCCAAUUUUCCAAGGUUGUCCUCGGAUCAGGUAGGAAUACCCGCUGAACUUAAGCA
RNAcentral lists this ribosomal RNA (577 nucleotides) under Colletotrichum gloeosporioides. Its description in RNAcentral is "eukaryotic LSU rRNA". The stretch from base 224 to 377 matches the Rfam family "5.8S ribosomal RNA". Lineage: Eukaryota; Fungi; Ascomycota; Sordariomycetes; Glomerellales; Glomerellaceae. The record is from RNAcentral.